RNAcentral lists this long non-coding RNA (390 nucleotides) under Mus caroli (Ryukyu mouse). RNAcentral describes it as "lncRNA (MGP_CAROLIEiJ_G0003566.1)". The record is from RNAcentral. Lineage: Eukaryota; Metazoa; Chordata; Mammalia; Rodentia; Muridae.
CAACUGUGCCUCCAUUGGGUUCGAGCAUCCCACCCCAGAACAUACUGGACUCCUGGAUUGAUGUCUGGAGCUGUGCAGUGCCACCAUAGCAGAAGGGGACAUACCAGCCUGGAGCAGGAGCUUUCUCCUGGAGCCCAGCAUCCUCCUCCCAGAAACCUUGGACUCUCAGAUGUUAUCAGAUGUCCACCCCCAGAACUCCCUUCCUCUCAUCUCCAGGGACUGUCGCUGGCCUACAGCCCAACGAAUGAGCUUAAAUCGAUCUCUGUGAUGAGCCCCAAUUACUGGUCUCAGGACCCUGCCUCAGCAUGGGUCUGGGGUUCCAGAAGAAAGAAGAUAGGACAGUCAUACACCAGCCUUUUCCCUCAGGUAUCCUCAGGACUUUUUCCUACU